AGUGAACGCUGGCGGUAGGCCUAACACAUGCAAGUCGAACGGCAGCACAGUAAGAGCUUGCUCUUACGGGUGGCGAGUGGCGGACGGGUGAGGAAUACAUCGGAAUCUACUUUUUCGUGGGGGAUAACGUAGGGAAACUUACGCUAAUACCGCAUACGACCUACGGGUGAAAGCAGGGGAUCUUCGGACCUUGCGCGAUUGAAUGAGCCGAUGUCGGAUUAGCUAGUUGGCGGGGUAAAGGCCCACCAAGGCGACGAUCCGUAGCUGGUCUGAGAGGAUGAUAAGCCACACUGGAACUGAGACACGGUCCAGACUCCUACGGGAGGCAGCAGUGGGGAAUAUUGGACAAUGGGCGCAAGCAUGAUACAGCCAUAGCGAGUGGGUGAAGAAGGCCUUCGGGUUGUAAAGCCCUUUUGUUGGGAAAGAAAAGCAGCAGGUUAAUACCCCGCUGUUCUGACGGUACCCAAAGAAUAAGCACCGGCUAACUUCGUG
This 492-nucleotide ribosomal RNA is filed under the name uncultured bacterium. Its description in RNAcentral is "partial 16S ribosomal RNA". It matches the Rfam family "Bacterial small subunit ribosomal RNA", at positions 29 to 507 of the family's 1533-position model. The record is from RNAcentral.